GGGCUAAGCAGCCCUGCAGAGCACCGGGCAGGGGAAUGGAUUCCCUGUCCUGUCCUAAGUACUCCAGGGAGAGGGAGCUGCUCUCUCUCUGCUCCCCCUCCCCAGAGACCCCCAGGAACCCCCCAAAACCUGGGCUGCUCUUCCCCCCUUUGAGCUGGGGGUGCUCCUCACUGCCUGAGCUGGAGGGGUGUGGAUAAACCCAAGAGGUGCCUACUUGGAAACCCAGAAUUGUUGAAGGCUCUUACCCCACCUCAGAAUUGUGAGGUCAGCCUGGGAAAAUCUUUUAUAACCCCUGGGAAGGGAAGAUGGAGCAGCCAGAAAUGAUCCCAAUUUACAUCAUCUUGCCAGUGCCUGUGUGAGCACUUGGGAGUUUCUUCACAGAUCCUUGUUGUUACUUUGAUGAUGAAAUCACCCAAACCUCAGCUUUGCUGAAACUAACCCUGACAAGCUUCAACAAACAAAGCCAAAGGGAGUUGAAGAUUGGAUAUCUGGGAUCUUAAAUUUAUGACCUUUCAAAAAUGUUGGAGUAAC
Serinus canaria (Common canary) is the source of this 531-nucleotide long non-coding RNA. RefSeq lists it as uncharacterized. The record is from RefSeq and is a predicted model, not a curated record. The transcript is spliced from 2 exons. NCBI's taxonomy places the organism in Eukaryota, Metazoa, Chordata, Aves, Passeriformes, Fringillidae.